Camponotus floridanus (Florida carpenter ant) is the source of this 73-nucleotide non-coding RNA. The record is from Rfam. NCBI's taxonomy places the organism in Eukaryota, Metazoa, Arthropoda, Insecta, Hymenoptera, Formicidae.
AUCUGGAUAGCUCAGUGGUCUAGAGCAGUUGCCUGGAAAGCGAAAGACUCGGGCUUGAUUUCUGAUCCAGCCA